RNAcentral lists this ribosomal RNA (415 nucleotides) under uncultured bacterium. RNAcentral describes it as "bacterial SSU rRNA". It matches the Rfam family "Bacterial small subunit ribosomal RNA", at positions 88 to 507 of the family's 1533-position model. The record is from RNAcentral.
UGGGGAAGCGGCAAACGGGGUAGUAAGGCGUCGGUACGUGCCCUCGGGACGAGGAUAGCCACGGGAAACUGUGGGUAAUACUCGAUGAUCUCGUGAGAGCAAAGGUGUGAUUCCGCCGAGGGGAGCGGCCGACGUGGUAUUAGGUAGUUGGGUGGGGUAAUCGGCCCCACCAAGCCGUGGGAUGCCUAGGGGGGUGUGAGAGCAUGGCCCCCACCAUUGGGACUGAGAUACUGCCCAGACACCUACGGGUGGCUGCAGUCGAGAAUCUUCGGCAAUGGGCGCAAGCCUGACCGAGCGACGCCGCGUGCGGGAUGAAGGCCUUCGGGUUGUAAACCGCUGUCAGAGGGGAUGAAAUCACAGUGGGUUCUCCCAUUGUGUUGACAGAGCCUCAGAGGAAGCGCGGGCUAAGUUCGUG